UGUCUGCGAUGAAUCGGAAAGUUGCUGUUACUAAUUCAGGUCACUUCUGAGGAGUAUGUCACGAUCUUAGAAUCGGGCGA
This is a regulatory RNA element of Pseudoramibacter alactolyticus ATCC 23263, 80 nucleotides long. It matches the Rfam family "S10-Clostridia ribosomal protein leader". The record is from Rfam. NCBI's taxonomy places the organism in Bacteria, Bacillati, Bacillota, Clostridia, Eubacteriales, Eubacteriaceae.